UCGCACACUAGCUCCCAUACUUUCCUUCUUGCGUUGGGGACCUCAUGUGUUCAGCUGUGACAGUAAUGGCGUAGUUUCCCCUAACAUAGGACUAUUCCACCCAAGUGACAAAUGGAAACCUAGGCACUGGGGCAAGGUACGGAGCUACACCUUGGGAAAACAGGAUGUGAAGAGAAAUACAAAAAGGAUGACAUUUACAAAAAGGAUGACAUCACUUGCCACCUACAUUUAGCUAUCUCGGGCACCACAACAGUUGCCUUUAGGCCCAAAUAGUAGCAACACAUGAAAGGCCAGAACCCCACUGCAGCUGGGGCUCUUCACUCCCUGGGCUAGAGAGACUACUUCACACCCACCUCUAGAGUCCCCAGCCAAGGUCAAACAAAUGAACAGAUGCCUACAGCAAGCUUGUUGUCAGGGAAGGAGAUUGGACUUGUUAAUAUUAACUGAUCUCAUUCCUGGAUUCCUUUGGAGAGGACUCAUGGAAUUAGAAUGACCUGAGCCCCAGUGCCAAGCCAAGAGAGAAAUACGUGUCUAAAUUACCCAGAUAAUUACUUUGUUUUGAUUAUCUGGGCAUUGUUUAUAAAGACUUUUAAAAUUUGAGGGAGCUGACGGUCUAAUGUGUCUUCCAUCUCAAAAAACAAUUUGUAACUCCCCUGUUGAAAACUCUCCCUCUGCUCAGACCCUUUGGUCUAUCCAUUCCCAAGUGGGAGGUAAGGCCCUGUUCCUUUUGUAAGGCAACAUCCUCAGAUAGAAAACUAGCAGAAAUUCUAACUGGUGAAAUAGGCUUCAAUUGGUCAUAGCCCUGAGAGUAACUCAGACCUUUUGUUCUCAUUGAUUCCAGAUUUACUUACCACUUAUUAAUGGCAGGUGCCUUGUCAGGAACCAUUGUGAAGCCAGAAAAGGAAGUCCUGAGGCCUUCCAAUGCUACCACUUUUGGCAGACUGAAUCAGGUUAACUAUUUCAGAGUAAGACCACACAGUACUAAGCCUCUGGAGCCAAGUGGACUGGGUUAGAAUCCAGGUUUCACCAUGUAGGCAAGUUGUUCAAUUUCCCCAAGCCUCAUCUAUAAACUGGGAACAAUACGUA
Panthera uncia (snow leopard) is the source of this 1086-nucleotide long non-coding RNA. RefSeq lists it as uncharacterized. The record is from RefSeq and is a predicted model, not a curated record. NCBI's taxonomy places the organism in Eukaryota, Metazoa, Chordata, Mammalia, Carnivora, Felidae. The transcript has 2 exons.